GUGUGUGCGGUGAAGAUGCAAUUUUCGUGGACUAGAGUUUCUGAUCUGGGCAAUUAACUCAGAAGUUGAUUAUAAAACCCUUGGCUGUCUGAGCACAUUUUAAAUCCCCAAAUUUUUACUUAAUUCUUCUCCUUCCGGAAAAUAAAAAUUCUUCAUUUUUUAGGUUUUGCUUCGCUUCCUACAUCUCAUAUUUUUUGUUGUUGAAAUUGGUUGAGAAAAUUCUUGGCUUAUGAUGAUAACAUAAAUUAUCUUAGCGGAUUUCAGUGAGAUUUCGAUCAAUGAUCUGAUUGUUACACACACUGAAGCCUUUCUUAUAGUUCCUAAUUUCGAUUUUCAUCUUUAAAUAUAAAGUAUUAAUGUUAUUGGUUGCAAUGAUGUGACAAAAACACAAUGGUGUUAUUAGGCAGUGGACGUUGCCAUUUGGUAGCGCCGUGAGCCUAUAUUUUAACGACUUCUCCUUCCACUGAGCACUAUAUUAUUACUUUAUUUAUUGUUAUUGAUUUGAAUGAAUUAUAUUUGUCACUAAUUAUUGGUAUGUGAUUGCGUCCAUUACCAAUUCCGGGGAUAUUAUGUUCCUCCUGGAUAAUGGCUUGGACGCUAUAAUUUUGAUGUGGUCAUCCUGAUUUAUGGUUUCUUUAAAGUAUCAUUUGGUCUUGGAAACGCCACCUACAUUU
Non-coding RNA from Lupinus albus (white lupine), 674 nucleotides. The record is from the annotation of a GenBank genome assembly. NCBI's taxonomy places the organism in Eukaryota, Viridiplantae, Streptophyta, Magnoliopsida, Fabales, Fabaceae.